RNAcentral lists this ribosomal RNA (392 nucleotides) under uncultured bacterium. Its description in RNAcentral is "partial 16S ribosomal RNA". It matches the Rfam family "Bacterial small subunit ribosomal RNA", at positions 523 to 918 of the family's 1533-position model. The record is from RNAcentral.
AUACGGAGGAUCCGAGCGUUAUCCGGAUUUAUUGGGUUUAAAGGGUGCGCAGGCGGCCAUUUAAGUCAGCGGUUAAAUCGUGGGGCUCAACCCCAUUCUGCCGUUGAUACUGGGUGGCUUGAUUGCGAUCGAGGUUGGCGGAAUUCGUUGUGUAGCGGUGAAAUGCAUAGAUAUGACGAAGAACACCGAUUGCGUAGGCAGCUGUCCAGACCGCAAAUGACGCUCAUGCACGAAAGUGCGGGGAUCGAACAGGAUUAGAUACCCUGGUAGUCCGCACAGUAAACGAUUAAUACUUGUUUUCGGCGAUAUAAUGUCGGAGGCAAAGCGAAAGCGAUAAGUAUUCCACCUGGGGAGUACGCCGGCAACGGUGAAACUCAAAGGAAUUGACGGGG